GACGAACGCUGGCGGCGUGCCUAAUACAUGCAAGUAGAACGCUGAAGGAGGAGCUUGCUUCUCUGGAUGAGUUGCGAACGGGUGAGUAACGCGUAGGUAACCUGCCUGGUAGCGGGGGAUAACUAUUGGAAACGAUAGCUAAUACCGCAUAAGAGUAGAUGUUGCAUGACAUUUGCUUAAAAGGUGCAAUUGCAUCACUACCAGAUGGACCUGCGUUGUAUUAGCUAGUUGGUGAGGUAACGGCUCACCAAGGCGACGAUACAUAGCCGACCUGAGAGGGUGAUCGGCCACACUGGGACUGAGACACGGCCCAGACUCCUACGGGAGGCAGCAGUAGGGAAUCUUCGGCAAUGGACGGAAGUCUGACCGAGCAACGCCGCGUGAGUGAAGAAGGUUUUCGGAUCGUAAAGCUCUGUUGUAAGAGAAGAACGAGUGGAGAGGGAAAGUUCACACUGGA
RNAcentral lists this ribosomal RNA (457 nucleotides) under Streptococcus mitis. Its description in RNAcentral is "bacterial SSU rRNA". It matches the Rfam family "Bacterial small subunit ribosomal RNA", at positions 28 to 473 of the family's 1533-position model. The record is from RNAcentral. Lineage: Bacteria; Bacillati; Bacillota; Bacilli; Lactobacillales; Streptococcaceae.